Long non-coding RNA from Heterocephalus glaber (naked mole-rat), 1413 nucleotides. RefSeq lists it as uncharacterized. NCBI's taxonomy places the organism in Eukaryota, Metazoa, Chordata, Mammalia, Rodentia, Bathyergidae. The record is from RefSeq and is a predicted model, not a curated record.
UGUGACUCACACCUCGAAUAGACCGUCUUUCUUUUUGCAAGGAGGAGGCCCGGAAGGAUGUCUCACUGGGAUCUCGGGGAGCACAUGAGACAGCAGAGGCACCCAGGAAGAGGUGGGAGAGUGGUGAAGUAAGACCAAUGAGAAGUACAUCGUAAUUCACUAUAGCAAAUGUUAACCAUUUCUGGAAAAGGGAAGUCCUGCCAACUAACUACUGGUGCAGCUGUUAAGCUGGGUUGGUGGAGGCCUGUAGCUGCUGCAAGGUGUUUGUGUUUUCAGGUUUCCUUCUACAGCAUGAGGGCCCCUACUUCCCUUUCUGGAUGCCCCUACACUUCAGUAACUCAAUAUGGAGGAGAUUUCUCUGCUCCCAAACACCAGCAGGAAGAGAGAAACUGUGAAGGCAGUCGGUCUGCAUCACAGUUGUUGUGGUCACCCCCGCACUGUGUCCCUGUCCACACCAUGCCACCCAUGAUGGCGUGGCAGCCACUUUUCACCUGCAAGGACACCGAUCGUAGGUAAAUAUUUAUUUUCGAAAAUUGCUUCCUAAAACAGGACAUGAUACGGGACUGGCUGGGUUUGAGCUCAAGCUGACUCAUGAGGAAGCAAGACUAACAUUUUCCUAGAGGGUGAACUCAAAAUUCCACAAGCUCAGCCUCCCACCGUCUGAGCACAGUGCAAACUUUGCUAUCCUCCUGAAAAGUUGGCUACAAGUUGAACAAAACCACAUGUUCUUGAAGUUGUGAAUGAACUGCAAGUUUCAUAAAAUGCAGGUUGGAGUAUAAAUCACCAUUUUCACCUUGAAAAACAAUUUCAUAUCUAGCAAAGUCAAGGUGAGAAUAUUUUUGUGUGCCAUAAUUCUGCACUCUAACUCUGCUCAAAAUGAACAUGUUCAUGGCAGUUUUGGCUAAAGAAAGGGAAAUGACUGAAGAGUCUGGAAAUAGAAAAAUGACUAAAUAAAUUAUGAUACAACCCUGGACUAAAAGUUAUAAAUAAAUGAAGAACAACACCUGGCAACAUGUGCAAAUCUCACCCAAAAAUGUCAAACAACUAAAACAUCAAGUCACAAGAAAAUGCCUAACGUUUGAGGGCAUAUAUCUAAAGUUCAGAAGUACGAUAAAAUAUAUAAAGGAUGUGCACAUUAGUAAAACACAAGGGAAUGAUGAACAGAAACUUCAGGGUCCUGGUUACCGCUGCGGGGACAGGGAGCUGUGGUCCGGUAGAUACAUAAGAAUGACAGACACAUAGAGGAAUCCUUACUAUGUGCAGGGCAUGUGCGGUGCACACCCGCUCACACACAAGAUAUUCUUACAAAGACUCACUUAACUGGGCUCCCUAAUUAUAUACAUGUAACUCCAGUUGUUCAGCCUUCUUGGUGCCACCUUUCCAUCUGUAGGUAUCUGGUGUGUGUGUAGAGGG